GAUGAACGCUAGCGAUAGGCCUAACACAUGCAAGUCGAGGGGCAGCACUUUGGGUGGCGACCGGCGCACGGGUGAGUAACGCGUAUGCGACCUACCCUUGAAUCAGGGAUAGCCCAUUGAAAGAUGGAUUAAUACCUGAUGGACAUUAAUGAAUGCCUGUUUAUUAAUGUAAAGAUUUAUUGUUCAAGGAUGGGCAUGCGUCUGAUUAGCUAGAUGGCGGGGUAACGGCCCACCAUGGCGACGAUCAGUAGGGGUUCUGAGAGGAAGGUCCCCCACAUUGGUACUGAGACACGGACCAAACUCCUACGGGAGGCAGCAGUGAGGAAUAUUGGUCAAUGGGCGGAAGCCUGAACCAGCCAAAUCGCGUGAAGGAAGAAGGUAUUAUGUAUUGUAAACUUCUUUAGCAGUGGAGUAAUAAAGGUCAUGUAUGACCAGAUGCAAGUACACUGAGAAUAAGGAUCGGCUAACUCCGUGCCAGCAGCCGCGGUAAUACGGAGGAUCCGAGCGUUAUCCGGAUUUAUUGGGUUUAAAGGGUGCGUAGGCGGCCUGUCAAGUCAGCGGUUAAACGUCCGGGCUCAACCUGGGCUUGCCGUUGAAACUGGGAGGCUUGAUUGCGCUGGAGGCCGGCGGAAUUCGUAGUGUAGCGGUGAAAUGCAUAGAUAUUACGAAGAACACCGAUUGCGUAGGCAGCCGGCCAUAACGCAAAUGACGCUGAUGCACGAAAGUGCGGGGAUCGAACAGGAUUAGAUACCCUGGUAGUCCGCACAGUAAACGAUGAAUACUUGUUCUUGGCGAUAUAGUGUCAGGGGCAAAGCGAAAGCGAUAAGUAUUCCACCUGGGGAGUACGCCGGCAACGGUGAAACUCAAAGGAAUUGACGGGGGCCCGCACAAGCGGAGGAACAUGUGGUUUAAUUCGAUGCUACGCGAGGAACCUUACCCGGGCUUGAAAGUUAGUGAAUGGACCUGAAAGGGUUCAGACCUCUUCGGAGGACACGAAACUAGGUGCUGCAUGGUUGUCGUCAGCUCGUGCCGUGAGGUGUCGGCUCAAGUGCCAUAACGAGCGCAACCCCUGCUGCCAGUUGCCAUCAUUUAGUUGGGGACUCUGGCGGGACUGCCAUCGCAAGAUGCGAGGAAGGAUGAGAUGACGUCAAAUCAGCACGGCCCUUACGUCCGGGGCGACACACGUGUUACAAUGGCGCAGACAGCGAGGAACGAAGUGGUGACACUGAGGGAAUCUCGAAACUGCGUCCCAGUUCGGAUUGGAGUCUGCAACCCGACUCCAUGAAGCUGGAUUCGCUAGUAAUCGCGCAUCAGCCAUGGCGCGGUGAAUACGUUCCCGGGCC
Molecule: ribosomal RNA, 1343 nt
Filed under: uncultured bacterium
Lineage: Bacteria
Description: bacterial SSU rRNA
Rfam family: Bacterial small subunit ribosomal RNA
Source: RNAcentral